RNAcentral lists this ribosomal RNA (253 nucleotides) under uncultured bacterium. RNAcentral describes it as "partial 16S ribosomal RNA". It matches the Rfam family "Bacterial small subunit ribosomal RNA", at positions 524 to 776 of the family's 1533-position model. The record is from RNAcentral.
GACGAACCGUGCAAACGUUGUUCGGAAUCACUGGGCUUAAAGGGCGCGUAGGCGGGCUGGCCAGUCAGGGGUGAAAGCCCACGGCUCAACCGUGGAAGCGCCUUUGAUACUGCCAGUCUGGAGGGAAGUAGGGGCGUGCGGAACUUCCGGUGGAGCGGUGAAAUGCGUAGAUAUCGGAAGGAACACCGGUGGCGAAAGCGGCGCGCUGGACUUCUACUGACGCUGAGGCGCGAAAGCCAGGGGAGCAAACGGG